This 446-nucleotide ribosomal RNA is filed under the name uncultured organism. RNAcentral describes it as "partial 16S ribosomal RNA". It matches the Rfam family "Bacterial small subunit ribosomal RNA", at positions 334 to 797 of the family's 1533-position model. The record is from RNAcentral.
CACUCCUACGGGAGGCAGCAGUGGGGAAUAUUGGACAAUGGGCGCAAGCCUGAUCCAGCCAUGCCGCGUGAGUGAUGAAGGCCCUAGGGUUGUAAAGCUCUUUCACCGGUGAAGAUAAUGACGGUAACCGGAGAAGAAGCCCCGGCUAACUUCGUGCCAGCAGCCGCGGUAAUACGAAGGGGGCUAGCGUUGUUCGGAUUUACUGGGCGUAAAGCGCACGUAGGCGGACUAUUAAGUCAGGGGUGAAAUCCCGGGGCUCAACCCCGGAACUGCCUUUAAUACUGGUAGUCUUGAGUUCGAGAGAGGUGAGUGGAAUUCCGAGUGUAGAGGUGAAAUUCGUAGAUAUUCGGAGGAACACCAGUGGCGAAGGCGGCUCACUGGCUCGAUACUGACGCUGAGGUGCGAAAGCGUGGGGAGCAAACAGGAUUAGAUACCCCGGUAGUCCC